UACUAUUUAAAAAAAAAAUAAUCAGAUAUGAAAAAUAAAAGACAAAAACUCUACCGACAGAAUCCUUUUCUCAAAAAUUUCUUCAGAUUAGAAAAGUAAUCGACGAUUGUUGCUUCCAAAUCGAAGAUAGAACAACAAAAUCAAAAGGAGUAAUCGCAUGUCAUGUUCAUCUCUGUGAGUCAUAAAAAGAGUAAAGGAUCGUUGAUAAGUGAAAGGAACAAAGCACUUAUAAUAGUGGUUUCAAUAGGAAGAGGGUCUUGGAUUUUUAUAAUAUGAAGAGGUUUAAAGGAGAGGUGCUUAGGUUAUUGUGAAACCUUGGAGCAUACUCCAAAUCGUAUCCCAACAGAUUUUAUAAACUGUAUAAUCGAUAUCAUUUAUUGUUAAUAUUGGUACCAUUUUGAAAGCUCCAAUAUAUUCGGUGGGUGUUUGCUCACGAUAUAAAAUAUUAUUA
Long non-coding RNA from Brassica oleracea var. oleracea, 451 nucleotides. RefSeq lists it as uncharacterized. The record is from RefSeq and is a predicted model, not a curated record. The transcript has 2 exons. NCBI's taxonomy places the organism in Eukaryota, Viridiplantae, Streptophyta, Magnoliopsida, Brassicales, Brassicaceae.